UUAACUCGUAUUGAAAAGAAUUAAGCCAUAUUUUUCUGGAUAUGGUCUUACAUCGUCAGUUUUGUUUAACUACUAAUGUUGCCCUUCUUAAUUUCGUAAAUUCUUGAAAGUAACUGUAAUGGAUUUGCAGGGGAAAAGUGGAAAGUUGAAACCAUUAUGUGGUGCACAUAACUUAAAUCAGUUUAUGGAAUCAAGGAAUUAUGUAUUUUCACCAUUAUUUGUUUCUGGUCAAUAUGUUUUUAGUUUUAUUCUUGAACAUUUACUGUAAUCAUUUUAAGUCUAGCCUUUUUUAUUUCCGCUAUAGAUUAUGGUAAUUUAGAAUGCAAAGAUCGAGUGCUCAUUUUCUCUUGAGCUUAUUAUUUAUGCUUACUGUAAUUUGGUUAUCUUAUCAAGUGCAGAUAUUGGGGCAGGAAAUACCUCAAACUUCAUCAAUAAUUAUGCAAUUAGCAUGCCAAAUUUAGCGGUUCACAUGGCUUUUGAUGUAGUUGAUCAGAUGUUCAAAGCAGGUUUAACCUUAUCAAUAGAAACAUUUCAUUCCAUAUUACAUGCAUGCGAGGAGAGUUGUGACUACAAGUUGGUACUAACAUCACUAGUUUUUAAUUUCUCACUUUUCUAAAUCUAUUAAGACAUUAUGUGAUUUGGAGUUGGAAAUUAGCUAAUAAUUGUAGAUUGGGAAAAACCUAGAACAGAGAACAGAAAACAGAGAAGAGUGAGGUUUUUUUUUUUUUAAUUUGUAAUUUCAUCUCUCUUAUAUCAAUUUAUUUUAGUUGAUUUUGUUUCUCUCA
This is a non-coding RNA of Camellia sinensis, 785 nucleotides long. The record is from RefSeq and is a predicted model, not a curated record. Lineage: Eukaryota; Viridiplantae; Streptophyta; Magnoliopsida; Ericales; Theaceae.